This 432-nucleotide ribosomal RNA is filed under the name uncultured Russulaceae. Its description in RNAcentral is "eukaryotic LSU rRNA". The stretch from base 80 to 233 matches the Rfam family "5.8S ribosomal RNA". The record is from RNAcentral. Lineage: Eukaryota; Fungi; Basidiomycota; Agaricomycetes; Russulales; Russulaceae.
UUUCAUGUGUUUUACGAUAGACACCCUUUUAAUGCAUGUGUAGAAUGUCUUACUUUUUGUGAUCACACACAAUCAAUACAACUUUCAACANCGAAUCUCUUGNCUCUCGCAUCGAUGAAGAACGCAGCGAAAUGCGAUACGUAAUGUGAAUUGCAGAAUUCNGUGAAUCAUCGAAUCUUUGAACGCACCUUGCGCCCUUUGGUAUUCCGAAGGGCACACCCGUUUGAGUGUCGUGACAUCCUCAAACCUUCUUGGUUUCUUGACUAGGAAGGCUUUGCGACUUUGNNGCUUUUGCUGGNCUUCUCUUGUUGAAGCCAGCUCCUCUGAUAUGAAUUAGUGGGGNCUGCUUUUGCUGAUCCUUGACGUGAUUAAGAUGUUUUCUUCGUCUUGGGAGUUUAGUACUGUUUUGCUCUGGAUCCUGCUUUCUAACUG